This 228-nucleotide ribosomal RNA is filed under the name uncultured bacterium. Its description in RNAcentral is "partial 16S ribosomal RNA". It matches the Rfam family "Bacterial small subunit ribosomal RNA", at positions 103 to 334 of the family's 1533-position model. The record is from RNAcentral.
CGGGUGAGUAAUGUCUGGGAAACUGCCUGAUGGAGGGGGAUAACUACUGGAAACGGUAGCUAAUACCGCAUAACGUCGCAAGACCAGAGAGGGGGACCUUCGGGCCUCUUGCCAUCGGAUGUGCCCAGAUGGGAUUAGCUAGUAGGUGGGGUAAAGGCUCACCUAGGCGACGAUCCCUAGCUGGUCUGAGAGGAUGACCAGCCACACUGGAACUGAGACACGGUCCAG